AUGUUCAUCUGAAUUGUUGGCA
This 22-nucleotide microRNA is filed under the name Pristionchus pacificus. RNAcentral's name for it is "ppc-miR-8321-3p". The record is from miRBase by way of RNAcentral. Lineage: Eukaryota; Metazoa; Nematoda; Chromadorea; Rhabditida; Neodiplogasteridae.